Molecule: ribosomal RNA, 301 nt
Filed under: uncultured bacterium
Lineage: Bacteria
Description: partial 16S ribosomal RNA
Rfam family: Bacterial small subunit ribosomal RNA
Source: RNAcentral
CAGUAGCCACGGGAAUACGUAGGUGGCAAGCGUUGUCCGGAAUUAUUGGGCGUAAAGGGCUCGCAGGCGGUUUCUUAAAUCUGAUGUGAAAGCCCCCGGCUCAACCGGGGAGGGUCAUUGGAAACUGGGAAACUUGAGUGCAGAAGAGGAGAGUGGAAUUCCACGUGUAGCGGUGAAAUGCGUAGAGAUGUGGAGGAACACCAGUGGCGAAGGCGACUCUCUGGUCUGUAACUGACGCUGAGGAGCGAAAGCGUGGGGAGCGAACAGGAUUAGAUACCCCCGUAGUCCCUGUCUCUUAUAA